Lingula anatina is the source of this 495-nucleotide long non-coding RNA. The record is from RefSeq and is a predicted model, not a curated record. Lineage: Eukaryota; Metazoa; Brachiopoda; Lingulata; Lingulida; Lingulidae.
ACAACUCACCCUGCUAUUAAAACUUGUUUGAGUCCAGUAUUCUUUGGGCCUAAGUGCGUCAGAAGGCUGAGGAAUUCCACGGCAACACAAGACAGGCACAAUACUCCAUAGGAAAAAGAGCCUGCCAGGAUAGAUUGGAUUUUGCUUGCCUGAGGACAUUUGUAACUCAAGUUCUGACUGGUCAUUGUACACAUAUGUUGCUCAAGAGCAGAAGAUGACAACGGCACCAACUCCUGCAUAGGCAAUGAUUUCAAGAAGAAGUUUUUAAAAUGAAUAUGUUCGGUGAAAAAGGAGAUAAAUGGAAAAUCUGCCUUGUCAGCCUAGCGUUUGCGUAAUGGACAGACAUAAUGCACUGAGAAGAGAAGAGUCGGGCCAGACAUGGCGUGACCGAGUCUCAUCACUAUUAACAGAGAUAAGUGGAGGGCAAGUUGAGCACUGUGGGAGUGCUGAUGUCACCGCCAAGACAGAGGUCUUGACAUCAUUUUAAACACUUAG